This 207-nucleotide ribosomal RNA is filed under the name uncultured bacterium. RNAcentral describes it as "partial 16S ribosomal RNA". It matches the Rfam family "Bacterial small subunit ribosomal RNA", at positions 568 to 774 of the family's 1533-position model. The record is from RNAcentral.
UGUGUAGGCGGUUCUUUAAGUUCGCUGUGAAAUCUCCCGGCUUAACCGGGAGGGUGCGGUGAAUACUGAGGGACUAGAGUACGGGAGAGGAAAGUGGAAUCCUGGUGUAGCGGUGAAAUAGCGUAGAUAUCAGGAGGAACACCGGUGGUGUAGACGGCUUUCUGGACCGUAACUGACGCUGAGACACGAAAGCGUGGGUAGCAAACA